UACAGAGGUGCCGAGCGUUAGGCGGAAUCACUGGGCUUAAAGCGCGUGUAGGCGGGUCGUUAAGUGUCCGCGUGAAAUCCCACGGCUCAACCGUGGAACUGCCGGGCAUACUGGUGACCUUGAGGCACUUAGGGGCGAGCGGAACAAAUGGUGGAGCGGUGAAAUGCGUAGAUAUCAUUUGGAACGCCGACGGUGAAAACAGCUCGCUGGGAGUGUCCUGACGCUGAGACGCGAAAGCCAGGGGAGCGAACGGG
RNAcentral lists this ribosomal RNA (254 nucleotides) under uncultured bacterium. RNAcentral describes it as "partial 16S ribosomal RNA". It matches the Rfam family "Bacterial small subunit ribosomal RNA", at positions 524 to 776 of the family's 1533-position model. The record is from RNAcentral.